This 156-nucleotide ribosomal RNA is filed under the name Silene nutans. RNAcentral's name for it is "5.8S ribosomal RNA". It matches the Rfam family "5.8S ribosomal RNA". From Rfam's summary of the family: 5.8S ribosomal RNA (5.8S rRNA) is a component of the large subunit of the eukaryotic ribosome. It is transcribed by RNA polymerase I as part of the 45S precursor that also contains 18S and 28S rRNA. Functionally, it is thought that 5.8S rRNA may be involved in ribosome translocation. The record is from RNAcentral. Lineage: Eukaryota; Viridiplantae; Streptophyta; Magnoliopsida; Caryophyllales; Caryophyllaceae.
AAACGACUCUCGGCAACGGAUAUCUCGGCUCUCGCAUCGAUGAAGAACGUAGCGAAAUGCGAUACUUGGUGUGAAUUGCAGAAUCCCGUGAACCAUCGAGUUUUUGAACGCAAGUUGCGCCCGAAGCUUUUGGCUGAGGGCACGUCUGCCUGGGCG